Molecule: transfer RNA, 72 nt
Filed under: Cavia porcellus (domestic guinea pig)
Lineage: Eukaryota; Metazoa; Chordata; Mammalia; Rodentia; Caviidae
Rfam family: tRNA
About the family: Transfer RNA (tRNA) molecules are approximately 80 nucleotides in length.
Source: Rfam by way of RNAcentral
GGGAACAUGACUCAGUGGUAGAGCUCUUGCCUUGCAUGCACGAGUCUCUGGGUUUAAUCCCCAGUACUACCA